This is a small nuclear RNA of Sphaerobolus stellatus SS14, 117 nucleotides long. It matches the Rfam family "U5 spliceosomal RNA". From Rfam's summary of the family: U5 RNA is a component of both types of known spliceosome. The precise function of this molecule is unknown, though it is known that the 5' loop is required for splice site selection and p220 binding, and that both the 3' stem-loop and the Sm site are important for Sm protein binding and cap methylation. NCBI's taxonomy places the organism in Eukaryota, Fungi, Basidiomycota, Agaricomycetes, Geastrales, Sphaerobolaceae. The record is from Rfam.
AGCGGUUGGGAUUCUUACAAAUCGAACUUCCCUCUCGCCUUUUACUAGAGGAAACCGUGCGAGGAUCCCAUAAUGACCGUCUGCGCUAUUUUUCAAAUACUCAGUUCACCUGAGCCU